This 983-nucleotide ribosomal RNA is filed under the name Halomonas sp. RNAcentral's name for it is "bacterial SSU rRNA". It matches the Rfam family "Bacterial small subunit ribosomal RNA", at positions 54 to 1034 of the family's 1533-position model. Lineage: Bacteria; Pseudomonadati; Pseudomonadota; Gammaproteobacteria; Oceanospirillales; Halomonadaceae. The record is from RNAcentral.
CAUGCAAGUCGAGCGGUAACAGAUCCAGCUUGCUAGAUGCUGACGAGCGGCGGACGGGUGAGUAAUGCAUAGGAAUCUGCCCGAUAGUGGGGGAUAACCUGGGGAAACCCAGGCUAAUACCGCAUACGUCCUACGGGAGAAAGGGGGCUCCGGCUCCCGCUAUGGGAUGAGCCUAUGUCGGAUUAGCUAGUUGGUGAGGUAACGGCUCACCAAGGCCACGAUCCGUAGCUGGUCUGAGAGGAUGAUCAGCCACAUCGGGACUGAGACACGGCCCGAACUCCUACGGGAGGCAGCAGUGGGGAAUAUUGGACAAUGGGGGAAACCCUGAUCCAGCCAUGCCGCGUGUGUGAAGAAGGCCCUCGGGUUGUAAAGCACUUUCAGCGAGGAAGAACGCCUAGCGGUUAAUACCCGCUAGGAAAGACAUCACUCGCAGAAGAAGCACCGGCUAACUCCGUGCCAGCAGCCGCGGUAAUACGGAGGGUGCGAGCGUUAAUCGGAAUUACUGGGCGUAAAGCGCGCGUAGGUGGCUUGAUAAGCCGGUUGUGAAAGCCCCGGGCUCAACCUGGGAACGGCAUCCGGAACUGUCAAGCUAGAGUGCAGGAGAGGAAGGUAGAAUUCCCGGUGUAGCGGUGAAAUGCGUAGAGAUCGGGAGGAAUACCAGUGGCGAAGGCGGCCUUCUGGACUGACACUGACACUGAGGUGCGAAAGCGUGGGUAGCAAACAGGAUUAGAUACCCUGGUAGUCCACGCCGUAAACGAUGUCGACCAGCCGUUGGGUGCCUAGCGCACUUUGUGGCGAAGUUAACGCGAUAAGUCGACCGCCUGGGGAGUACGGCCGCAAGGUUAAAACUCAAAUGAAUUGACGGGGGCCCGCACAAGCGGUGGAGCAUGUGGUUUAAUUCGAUGCAACGCGAAGAACCUUACCUACUCUUGACAUCCUGCGAAUUUGGUAGAGAUACCUUAGUGCCUUCGGGAACGCAGAGA